Molecule: ribosomal RNA, 148 nt
Filed under: Salmonella enterica
Lineage: Bacteria; Pseudomonadati; Pseudomonadota; Gammaproteobacteria; Enterobacterales; Enterobacteriaceae
Also listed under: 4 other names
Description: partial 23S ribosomal RNA
Rfam family: Bacterial large subunit ribosomal RNA
Source: RNAcentral
GGGUUGUGAGGUUAAGCGACUAAGCGUACACGGUGGAUGCCCUGGCAGUCAGAGGCGAUGAAGGGCGUGCUAAUCUGCGAUAAGCGCCGGUAAGGUGAUAUGAACCGUUAUAACCGGCGAUACCCGAAUGGGGAAACCCAGUGUGACU